CAAAUCUUUAACUAAAAACUCAAACUAUUAAUCUCUCAAAUCAUAAACAUAACCCUUUACACAAACUAAUUAUAUAAGUCUUAUGAUGGAGUUAUUUAAAAUCACAUAACCACAAAAUUCUAAUCGAAAUUUAUAUUUCAAAUGUUAAAUUAUAAUAUCUAAUUUUUGAAUUAAGACAAUUUAUAAAACAAUUUUAAAGUAACGUAAAAACAAUUAUAUCAUGUUUUUUCUCAUGGCCAUUGAUCUAUUUUAUUCCAAAGGUCAAAACUAUUCUUUUAUCUAUCUUCAAUUUUAUUUUCAUUGGUUGAUUUUGCUUUCUCAAAGAUCACAAUUUGUAACCAUUAAUGAAAUAUAAUCUAAAGGCCACAAAUAAAUCUCUCUCUUUCUCAUUAAUAUUUUCAUUUAACGUCUUCUUCUCUUUCUAUUUUUUUUUCAGUCUCUCUUCAUCUCUUUCUUUCUUCUUCUCCUGCAACUAAAGCGUGAACAUGAAUCCAUGAAAGAGAAGCAGCUGGUUGUCGACUAGGGGUGGGAAUUUUAAUCAUAACCCGCGAGUCCCGCCCCGUUUGAUCCGCUGCGGGGAGGGUGCGGGUCGAGCGAUUUCAAAAUUUUGAUAUACGGGUGCGGGUGCAGGUCGUGAUUAAUUUAAGCGGGGCGGGUGCGGGUCAGCCGAAUAUGAGUCGCGGGUCGGGUGGUUUACCCGCGGGUUUUAGCGGGGCGGGCGCGGGUGUGAGAUUAUUGGUUUGCCGGUUAUGCGGGUUGGAAUUUUUUAGUCGAAAAAAUGACUUGAUCCGCGGGUCGCGGAGCGGGUUGCCCCGCGAACCCAGCUCUAUUGUUGACCACCAUCGAAGAAUCUGGGCUCUGUUCACGGCGACCUGCAUCAUGGGACUCCUCUCACUGUAACAAGGCUCCUCGCGCAGAGCAUAUCCCAGAUCCGGCAAUCACACCUCCUCCCACCGCAAUCCCUUCUUCAUGUCUCUCAGUCACCACUCCUCUCUUGCGAGAAAGGAAUCCAACACGCCAUGGAAGUCUUGGGAGGGAGCAUGUCUUCUCUUCACCGAUGCCUGAUCCCAGGGACGAAGGAGAAGAAGAACCAUGGCUGGAUGGUCAGAAGAUGAAGAAGACAAGAAGACGGCGGCUGGGAAUAGGUUUAGAUAGUAAUUAGGUUUAAUCUUUGUUUAGGUUUUUGGUUUAUUUGGUUUAAUCAUUUAAUUUGUAAAUCAUUUUUUUUGUAAACCAGUUUAGUUAUAAA
This is a long non-coding RNA of Raphanus sativus (radish), 1249 nucleotides long. RefSeq lists it as uncharacterized. The record is from RefSeq and is a predicted model, not a curated record. NCBI's taxonomy places the organism in Eukaryota, Viridiplantae, Streptophyta, Magnoliopsida, Brassicales, Brassicaceae. The transcript has 3 exons.